This 253-nucleotide ribosomal RNA is filed under the name uncultured bacterium. Its description in RNAcentral is "partial 16S ribosomal RNA". It matches the Rfam family "Bacterial small subunit ribosomal RNA", at positions 524 to 776 of the family's 1533-position model. The record is from RNAcentral.
UACGUAGGGGGCGAGCGUUGUCCGAAGUUACUGGGCGUAAAGCGCGUGUAGGCGGGUCUUUAAGUGAGGGGUGAAAGGGUUGGGUUUAACCCAGACACUGCCUUUCAUACUGGAGACCUUGAGUGCGGGAGAGGCGAGUGGAAUGGUCGGUGUAGCGGUGAAAUGCGUAGAUAUCGAUCGGAACACCCAUGGCGAAGGCAGCUCGCUGGCCUGUAACUGACGCUGAGACGCGAAAGCGUGGGGAGCAAACAGG